RNAcentral lists this transfer RNA (65 nucleotides) under Pachydactylus montanus (Montane thick-toed gecko). Its description in RNAcentral is "tRNA-Cys". Lineage: Eukaryota; Metazoa; Chordata; Lepidosauria; Squamata; Gekkonidae. The record is from RNAcentral.
AAGCCCCGGCACCACUUCGGUGCGUCUUCGAACUUGCAUUUCGACGUCGUCUUGCGACCACAGGG